CGUCUUGCCAGACGGGUGCGCGUUGCCUAUAUCUGCCGGUGCCGGAGGGGCUUGCUCCUUGGCUAUGGCGAUAAACGGCACGUGGAAUAAGUGUAGUGGACCCGGGGGCAGUACCCGGCGUCUCCACCAGGUCAUCUCUCCGCCAUGACCCUUCGGGGCAGGAGAGCAUGGGGACGAAACAGGCUCGACACGCAUGGUAAAGACCUGCCUUUUGCCCGGCAUUGUACCGCCGUUAUCGGGCUAACUUACAAGUGCCAACGAUAACUCUGAGGUGCUCGCUGUCGCUGCAUAAGUGACAAGCGCGGUUCGGGAGGGCACCGGGCAACAGAAGCCCUCCCACU
This 341-nucleotide transfer-messenger RNA is filed under the name Gluconacetobacter sacchari. It matches the Rfam family "Alphaproteobacteria transfer-messenger RNA". Rfam says of the family: Bacterial tmRNA, also known as 10Sa RNA or SsrA, is named for its dual tRNA and mRNA-like properties. The record is from RNAcentral. Lineage: Bacteria; Pseudomonadati; Pseudomonadota; Alphaproteobacteria; Acetobacterales; Acetobacteraceae.